This 334-nucleotide long non-coding RNA is filed under the name Trifolium pratense (red clover). Its description in RNAcentral is "long non-coding RNA (TPRA_LNC002804)". Lineage: Eukaryota; Viridiplantae; Streptophyta; Magnoliopsida; Fabales; Fabaceae. The record is from RNAcentral.
CAAUUCCUAAUAUAGUUAUGACUGGAAAAAUGACAUGGCAUAUUUGGCUUCAUGAUUAAGCACAAGAAUUGUAUUUUUUUGGUAUUAGUUUGGUCACACAGUGAACUUAAAACCAUGUGUAUGAGUAUCUUUUUAGAACUGUUUCUGUUUCUAUUUUACAAGAGUGACAUAAGUAUCGUAUUGUAAGCAACAUUCAUUUACCACUGAAUCAUGCACCACCACCAAUCUAAUGGUGCAAGCUUCACACUGUAUCAUAAUCAAAACGAUAUGCAUGAAACAAUGUCAAUCGUUCGAUCGUUCGAACCGUCAUAGCUAAUCAAACUCGAAUUCAAGA